UGUGUACAAAAUGUUGAUUUCUUACAUGACUUUCUUACUUACUAAUGUAAAAGGGACAAAUACAACAAAUUGAUAUAUUUAAAUUAUAUUUGAUAAUUAUUAAGUUUUUUAUAACUCUUUAAGAGCUAAAUAUUAAUUAAUCAGGAGAUUUUGUGUUGGGGACAUUAUAAAGUGAUUAAAUUAUAUUCUAUUAGUUACAUACAAAGAAGAAAAAAAUAUGACUGAAACCUUCAUGUUUAUUUGUGUUACAAUACUCUUUUUUUCUCUAUUUCUUAUUUCAAUGGAAGUUAACGCAUUACUUAAGAUAUGUGAUAAAGAUUCUGACUGUCCAAGAAUGAUGUGCUUAUAUCCUGAAAUUGUGAGGUGUAUUGAUAAUAAAUGUGUUUGCGUUCGUAUGAUGUAUUGAUGUUACUACUUCUAUGAGUAUUACAAUAAAAAAAGAGUAAAGAAAAUAUUUGUUGGAAAGAAUGGUUUCUCACACUAGCAAUAGAUCUUUGUAAUAUCCUUUCUGCUUAAAAA
Vicia villosa (hairy vetch) is the source of this 519-nucleotide long non-coding RNA. RefSeq lists it as uncharacterized. Lineage: Eukaryota; Viridiplantae; Streptophyta; Magnoliopsida; Fabales; Fabaceae. The record is from RefSeq and is a predicted model, not a curated record. The transcript is spliced from 2 exons.